AUAAAUGCAUUGAUGGAAACGAGUAUGUCUGAUAUGUGGACGCAGCGAACCCGGGCAAGGUGAAAGCCGGGUGUCAACAACGGGCAGAAAAUCCUUCCGGAGCAGCGAUCUGAACACGGUGUUACCGCCAGUAAGGGAGCCGUCAUUGCCAGACGUUAUCCAGGGCACAGAGAUAAAUGCGUCUCUGACCGAGCGCCAGUUUUCUUACUGGAAGCAGGGUGGUACCGCGGGAAUUUCUCCCGCCCCUGAA
Molecule: non-coding RNA, 250 nt
Filed under: Leptolinea tardivitalis
Lineage: Bacteria; Bacillati; Chloroflexota; Anaerolineae; Anaerolineales; Anaerolineaceae
Description: T-box sequence
Rfam family: T-box leader
About the family: Uncharged tRNA acts as the effector for transcription antitermination of genes in the T-box leader family. T-boxes are found upstream of many aminoacyl-tRNA synthetase genes and some amino acid biosynthetic genes usually in Gram-positive bacteria. The anticodon of a specific tRNA base pairs to a specifier sequence within the T-box motif, and the NCCA acceptor tail of the tRNA base pairs to a conserved bulge in the T-box antiterminator hairpin.
Source: RNAcentral